ACACCCGCCCCUGUGGCUCGGCCCUCCAGGGGCGAUCGGAAGGCGGGGCCGGUGGGCAGCGGGGGUGGGGGUGGGGUGGCCUGGGGAGCCCUUGACGAUGGCUUCCGCCUGCCAGCGAGGUCCCCGAGUCCAGGACGCCACGGUGACCAGGGUCCCCGCCUCCUCGGCCGCAGGCGGCGCGCGCCGCUCCCGAGGCCCGCGGACCCCGGAGCGGCCGGGGCAACCCCUCCCCGGGUCCCCAACGACACCCAGGAGGAAGGUGGACGAGGCGGGCCGGCGCCGUAGGCGCCGCAGCCCUGCCCAGCUGGCCAGCCCGCCCGCCAGCCAGUCAUGGCCCCGGCCCCGGCCCCGGCCCAGCCCGCGGCUCUGAGCUGGAAACCUGAAAAUAAAACUCGUGUCGGGGAGGGAGGCGAGGGCGCGGGCGGCGAGGUGCUGCGUCAUGGUGCCAACAUGGACGCCGGCCUUUGUCCUGCCUCGCCCGGGAAGCACGCGCGCCCCCGAGCCCCGACCAGCCGGCUUCGGGGUGCAAGGUCCCCCACAGCCAGAAGGAGAGGGCGCCCCAAGCCAGAGUUGGGUUGGCAAAAAGGCGGCUUCGCUGAGGACUGUUUACUGCUCUGGAUAUAGCAAUGGUGUGACCGUCAUUAAGAGACAAAAGGCGAAAACACACAGUCAAAUCAAACAAAAGGCAAAAGGCGCACCAGCCAUCCCAACCACCAUAGAAAAUACGACCGAGUUAUCGUUGGUGUUUGGCUUGAACCAGCUAGGACUUGUUUUCCAGCUUUAAUCUAGUUUCCUGUGACGGUUUUCGUCUUUCUACACAAAGAGAAGGUCUUCCUUUUUCUAACCAUCCCCCCUCCACCACCACCAAGACGAGAAAAACAGAGCUGUUUUUCUUCAAAUAGAUCGAUUUUCAAAGAGUGUAAACGUUACUGGGAAGGCUGACUAGCAUUUAUUGCUAUAAACAUUUUCAAAAGCUUGAAGCUAAAACCUUAAGCUUUAUAUAAGCAAAAUCGUCUAAAAAGCAUUUUCACUGGCUCAUAUUAGACAAGAGACAAAGACAGACAUGCAGAUGAAGGUUCAGAAAAUUAAGGACAGCUCAGCCAACAUUAACAAGAAAACUGCACUGCAUAAGGACAGAAUGGAUUGGGUACUUACAAUGUAAAAGGUUUUUAGAAACUUAAGAGUAACGACUGCUCACACAUUUUUUUGUUGCUGCCAUUUCGCUAGUCCUAAAACUAUACAUUUAAAACAUUACCUUGUUAAAAAGAGAGGAGUUAUUAAGAUGGCCAGGUUUAAGUGUUUAAUAGAG
RNAcentral lists this long non-coding RNA (1309 nucleotides) under Heterocephalus glaber (naked mole-rat). RNAcentral describes it as "lncRNA (ENSHGLG00000050107.1)". The record is from RNAcentral. Lineage: Eukaryota; Metazoa; Chordata; Mammalia; Rodentia; Bathyergidae.